GACGAACCGAGCGAACGUUGUUCGGAAUCACUGGGCUUAAAGGGCGCGUAGGCGGGCUGCCAAGUCUGGGGUGAAAUCCUCCGGCUCAACCGGGGAAGGGCCUUGGAUACUGGCGGUCUGGAGGGAGGUAGGGGCGUGCGGAACUGUCGGUGGAGCGGUGAAAUGCGUUGAUAUCGACAGGAACUCCGGUGGCGAAGGCGGCACGCUGGACCUUUUCUGACGCUGAGGCGCGAAGGCCAGGGGAGCAAACGGG
Molecule: ribosomal RNA, 253 nt
Filed under: uncultured bacterium
Lineage: Bacteria
Description: partial 16S ribosomal RNA
Rfam family: Bacterial small subunit ribosomal RNA
Source: RNAcentral